Amphimedon queenslandica is the source of this 501-nucleotide long non-coding RNA. RefSeq lists it as uncharacterized. Lineage: Eukaryota; Metazoa; Porifera; Demospongiae; Haplosclerida; Niphatidae. The record is from RefSeq and is a predicted model, not a curated record. The transcript has 2 exons.
CACAUCAAUCACACAUUUAGGCAUUAUGUCCUGUCUGUCAUCCCUUGCUGUCCUACCCUCUUUCAACUGAAGCUGGUAUCUCUUUUGAUCAUUGGCGGGAUGAGGAUCACAUGAUCCACGGAGGAAACUAGGAGGAGACUGAAUGACACAAGGGGAGCAAUAGCAUGACCCGCAGUAGUCCAACCCUCGAAGAAUAGGCGGGUUCUCUCCCUCAUAUCCUCUGAUCUCAUUUCUAGUGCCUAUAAUUUAUUUGUAUAGGCCACUGUUAAUCAGUGUGAUUUAAUGAGCUUACAGUAGCUAGUAACCACUCUCUCCUCCAUUUCAGAAUCUUCACUUCCUUCAUUCAUCUUCUUCCACACUAACUGCACUUUACUUUCACCCUGCUCUCUUCUGACCAUCUCCCUCACUUCCGUUAUAAAUGACUGUCUUGGCACAGUGUCAUAUUCUAUUGUUACCUACUUUUUUAUUUUGGCUAAAUGUUAGUAAAACUGUCUGUACCCU